GUACUCGCUACGGCAGUACAUAUACUAAAAUUGGAACGAUACAGAGAAGAUUAGCAUGGCCCCUGCGCAAGGAUGACAAGUCCUUUAUCUUGGGGUGAUCCUCAGUAAA
Small nuclear RNA from Stegodyphus dumicola, 109 nucleotides. NCBI's taxonomy places the organism in Eukaryota, Metazoa, Arthropoda, Arachnida, Araneae, Eresidae. The record is from RefSeq and is a predicted model, not a curated record.